CCAUACAGCGUUGAAACAUUGGUUCCCGUACGAUCACCGAAGUUAAGCAACGUUGAUCCCGCACAAUACCUAGAUAGGUGACAGCUUGGGAAUACAAAAUGCUGUAA
This is a non-coding RNA of Acanthosepion pharaonis, 107 nucleotides long. Lineage: Eukaryota; Metazoa; Mollusca; Cephalopoda; Sepiida; Sepiidae. The record is from the annotation of a GenBank genome assembly.